This 551-nucleotide ribosomal RNA is filed under the name Nassa serta. RNAcentral describes it as "partial 12S ribosomal RNA". The stretch from base 206 to 551 matches the Rfam family "Bacterial small subunit ribosomal RNA", at positions 875 to 1384 of the family's 1533-position model. Lineage: Eukaryota; Metazoa; Mollusca; Gastropoda; Neogastropoda; Muricidae. The record is from RNAcentral.
AAACCAAGAUGAUUAAGUCAUACAAUUAUCGGUUAAAAGAUAGUUAAGUAGGUUGGAAAGUUUAUUAAAUUGUUAUUUAGAGGUAAAAUUUGUAAAUAACCUAGAAAUCUAAUUACAACUAGUGUACUGAAGCUGUGAUAGCCUUGGGAGAAACUGGGAUUAGAUACCCCAUUAUUCUCGGAUAUAAAAAAAUAAAAAUUUACCAGAGUACUACGGAUUAAGUAUGUUUAAAACUCAAAGGGCUUGGCGGUGUUUUAGACUUUUCAGGGGAACCUGUCUCAUAAUCGACAAUCCACGAUAUACCUGACCUUUAUUUGCUUUCAAUUUGUAUACCGUCGUCGGCAGGUAACUUUUAAGAAGAAAGAAGUUAGCGAGUAGGCUAAUAAAAUAAGCCCUUACGUCAGAUCAAGGUGCAGUCAACAUAAAGGAGAGGAUGGGUUACAAUUAUAAAAUACAUAAUGACGAAAUGGUUAUUUGAAAAAUAACUGUGAAGGAGGACUUGAAAGUAAAAUAGAUUACAUAAAUAUUUUGAAUUAAGCUCUGAAGCGUGC